This is a non-coding RNA of Psilocybe cubensis, 89 nucleotides long. The record is from the annotation of a RefSeq genome assembly. Lineage: Eukaryota; Fungi; Basidiomycota; Agaricomycetes; Agaricales; Agrocybaceae.
UCUCUGUUAGUAUAUCGGUUAGUACACGCGCCUGUCAUUCAUUUCUGCAAUGAUCGCGCGAAAGCUGGGUUCGACUCCCAGACAGAGAG